Molecule: ribosomal RNA, 254 nt
Filed under: uncultured bacterium
Lineage: Bacteria
Description: partial 16S ribosomal RNA
Rfam family: Bacterial small subunit ribosomal RNA
Source: RNAcentral
UACAGAGACUGCAAGCGUUAUUCGGAUUCACUGGGCGUAAAGGGUGCGCAGGCGGCCAAGUGUGUGAGGCGUGAAAGCCCGGGGCUUAACCCCGGAAUUGCACCUCAAACUACUUGGCUAGAGCAUUGGAGAGGGAUGCAGAAUUCCAGGUGUAGCGGUGAAAUGCGUAGAUAUCUGGAGGAAUACCGGUGGCGAAGGCGGCAUCCUGGACCGGCAUUGACGCUGAGUGAGCGAAAGCCAGGGGAGCAAACGGG